RNAcentral lists this ribosomal RNA (785 nucleotides) under uncultured Bacteroidota bacterium. RNAcentral describes it as "bacterial SSU rRNA". It matches the Rfam family "Bacterial small subunit ribosomal RNA", at positions 61 to 845 of the family's 1533-position model. The record is from RNAcentral. Lineage: Bacteria; Pseudomonadati; Bacteroidota.
GUCGAGCGGCAAGUUGAGUAGUAAUACUUGACCUAGAGCGGCGCACGGGUGCGUAACGCGUAUGCAACCUACCUUUUACUGGGGGAUAGCCCGGAGAAAUCUGGAUUAAUACCCCAUGGUAUCUACGAAUCGAAUGUUUUGUAGCUUAAAGAUUUAUCGGUAAAAGAUGGGCAUGCGUCUGAUUAGCUAGUUGGCGGGGUAACGGCCCACCAAGGCGACGAUCAGUAGGGGUUCUGAGAGGAAGGUCCCCCACACUGGCACUGAGAUACGGGCCAGACUCCUACGGGAGGCAGCAGUAGGGAAUAUUGGGCAAUGGUCGCAAGACUGACCCAGCCAUGCCGCGUGCAGGAAGACGGCCCUCUGGGUUGUAAACUGCUUUUAUCUGGGAAGAAAAAGUCCAUGCGUGGAAAAUUGCCGGUACCAGAUGAAUAAGCACCGGCUAACUCCGUGCCAGCAGCCGCGGUAAUACGGAGGGUGCAAGCGUUGUCCGGAUUUAUUGGGUUUAAAGGGUGCGUAGGCGGCUGAAUAAGUCAGCGGUGAAAGACUUCGGCUUAACCGGAGCAGUGCCGUUGAUACUGUUUGGCUUGAGUGUUGGAGGGGUACAUGGAAUUGAUGGUGUAGCGGUGAAAUGCAUAGAUACCAUCAGGAACACCGAUAGCGAAGGCAUUGUACUGGCCAACAACUGACGCUGAGGCACGAAAGUGUGGGGAUCGAACAGGAUUAGAUACCCUGGUAGUCCACACUGUAAACGAUGAUUACUCGCUGUUAUGGUGUAUGCUGUAGCG